This 538-nucleotide ribosomal RNA is filed under the name Azadinium spinosum. Its description in RNAcentral is "partial Bacterial large subunit ribosomal RNA". It matches the Rfam family "Bacterial large subunit ribosomal RNA", at positions 2151 to 2701 of the family's 2925-position model. The record is from RNAcentral. Lineage: Eukaryota; Dinophyceae; Gonyaulacales; Amphidomataceae.
GAGACUUUGAAGCGGCGUCGCCAGGCGUUGUGGAGUCACCCUUGAAAUACCGCCCUUGCCACAGGUGAAGUCUAACCCUUCCGGGGGAACAGUGUAUGGUGGGUAGUUUGACUGGGGCGGUCGCCUCCUAAAGAGUAACGGAGGCUUCUAAAGGUGUCCUCAGCACGGUUGGUAAUCGUGCGCAGAGUGCAAUGGCACAAGGACGCUUGACUGUGAGACAGACAAGUCGAGCAGGUACGAAAGUAGAGCAUAGUGAUCCGGUGGUUCCGUAUGGAAGGGCCAUCGCUCAAAGGAUAAAAGGUACUCUGGGAUAACAGGCUGAUCUCCCCCAAGAGCUCAUAUCGACGGGGAGGUUUGGCACCUCGAUGUCGGCUCGUCGCAUCCUGGGGCUGGAGAAGGUCCCAAGGGUUGGGCUGUUCGCCCAUUAAAGUGGCACGCGAGCUGGGUUCAGAACGUCGCGAGACAGUUCGGUCUCUAUCUACAGUGGGCGUUAGAGAUUUGAGUGGACCUGCUUCUAGUACGAGAGGACCGAAGCGGA